Long non-coding RNA from Cyprinodon variegatus (sheepshead minnow), 167 nucleotides. RefSeq lists it as uncharacterized. The transcript has 3 exons. The record is from RefSeq and is a predicted model, not a curated record. NCBI's taxonomy places the organism in Eukaryota, Metazoa, Chordata, Actinopteri, Cyprinodontiformes, Cyprinodontidae.
AGCGGAAGUGGCUGUACUACAACAGGAGGUCAGCGUCUCAGAGCUUUGUCCUCCUCCAUGGUCCAUGCAUGAGGUGGAGAUGGUGACAGCUUGUCACUGUGUGGAAGUCAAAAGGGUCACAGUCACAGGAAAACUGAGCCCACAAAUGAAGCCCAAGACCCCCCCCC